GAUGAACGCUAGCGGGAGGCCUAACACAUGCAAGCCGAGCGGGAUUUGUUGGUUAGCUUGCUAACUAACAAUGAGAGCGGCGUACGGGUGCGUAGCACGUGUGCAACCUGCCUUUAUCUGGGGGAUAGCCUUUCGAAAGGAAGAUUAAUACCCCAUAACAUAUUGAUUGGCAUCAGUUAAUAUUGAAAGCUCCGGCGGAUAGAGAUGGGCACGCGUAAGAUUAGCUAGUUGGUGAGGUAACGGCUCACCAAGGCUGCGAUCUUUAGGGGGCCUGAGAGGGUGAUCCCCCACACGGGUACUGAGACACGGACCAGACUCCUACGGGAGGCAGCAGUGAGGAAUAUUGGACAAGGGGUGAGAGCCUGAUCCAGCCAUCCCGCGUGAAGGACUAAGGACCUAUGGUUUGUAAACUUCUUUUAUACAGGGAUAAACCUACUCUCGUGAGGGUAGCUGAAGGUACUGGAUGAAUAAGCACCGGCUAACUCCGUG
Molecule: ribosomal RNA, 489 nt
Filed under: uncultured bacterium
Lineage: Bacteria
Description: partial 16S ribosomal RNA
Rfam family: Bacterial small subunit ribosomal RNA
Source: RNAcentral